AUUGAACGCUGGCGGCAUGCCUUACACAUGCAAGUCGAACGGCAGCACGGGUGCUUGCACCUGGUGGCGAGUGGCGAACGGGUGAGUAAUACAUCGGAACAUGUCCUGUAGCGGGGGAUAGCCCGGCGAAAGCCGGAUUAAUACCGCAUACGAUCUACGGAUGAAAGCGGGGGACCUUCGGGCCUCGCGCUAUCGGGUUGGCCGAUGGCUGAUUAGCUAGUUGGUGGGGUAAAGGCCUACCAAGGCGACGAUCAGUAGCUGGUCUGAGAGGACGACCAGCCACACUGGGACUGAGACACGGCCCAGACUCCUACGGGAGGCAGCAGUGGGGAAUUUUGGACAAUGGGCGAAAGCCUGAUCCAGCAAUGCCGCGUGUGUGAAGAAGGCCUUCGGGUUGUAAAGCACUUUUGUCCGGAAAGAAAUCCUUGGCCCUAAUACGGUCGGGGGAUGACGGUACCGGAAGAAUAAGCACCGGCUAACUACGUG
RNAcentral lists this ribosomal RNA (486 nucleotides) under uncultured bacterium. RNAcentral describes it as "partial 16S ribosomal RNA". It matches the Rfam family "Bacterial small subunit ribosomal RNA", at positions 30 to 507 of the family's 1533-position model. The record is from RNAcentral.